GCCUAUGGCCACGCUACCCUGAACGUGGCCGAUCUCGUCUGAUCUCGGAAGCUAAGCAGGGUCGGGCCUGGUUAGUACUUGGAUGGAAGACCACCUAGGAAGACCAGGUGCUGUUGAAA
RNAcentral lists this ribosomal RNA (119 nucleotides) under Pteropus alecto (black flying fox). The record is from RNAcentral. Lineage: Eukaryota; Metazoa; Chordata; Mammalia; Chiroptera; Pteropodidae.